RNAcentral lists this ribosomal RNA (422 nucleotides) under uncultured archaeon. Its description in RNAcentral is "partial 16S ribosomal RNA". It matches the Rfam family "Archaeal small subunit ribosomal RNA", at positions 323 to 746 of the family's 1478-position model. The record is from RNAcentral.
CUACGGGGGGCAGCAGGCGCGAAAACUUCACAAUGUGCGAAAGCACGAUGAGGGAAUCCCAAGUGCUUGCACGUAAGUGUAAGCUGUUUUUCUGUAUAAAACGCAGAGAGAGUAAGGGCUGGGUAAGACGGGUGCCAGCCGCCGCGGUAAUACCUGCAGCUCAAGUGGUGGUCGUUAUUAUUGGGCCUAAAACGUUCGUAGCCGGUUUAUUAAAUGCCUGGGUAAAUCGUGUAGCUUAACUAUACGAAUUCCGGGUAGACUGAUAAACUUGAGACUGGGAGAAGCUAGAGGUACUCCUGGGGUAGAGGUGAAAUUCUGUAAUCCUAGGGGGACCACCGGUGGCGAAGGCGUCUAGCUAGAACGGGUCUGACGGUGAGGGACGAAGCCCUGGGGCGCAAACGGGAUUAGAUACCCUGGUAGUC